ACAAUCUCGAAGCGUGGGAAGAUAAAUAUGGCUCACUAGAGUGUUGGGCCCGUUCUUCCUGAGUCGGACUCGGCCGAGGUAUCGACAUGGGUUCGGCUUGGGGUUCUUUAUGGCGCGAAGGAAACAAGGACGAGUCGGACCUGGUUAGAAAACGCUGCUGUGAUAAGGUCAGUUUGCGUGGGAUUUAGCUUCAUGAAUCCUGGCUAUAUGCCACUUGGCAGUUGGCACCUGUUGCUUACGGCACGAUCAAGAUCCCCUCCAAUGAAUUCUGGCUGAUUUUUACAUCCAACGGCCAAAAAAAUGUUGUCUGAACAACCAUAGACAAGCUCUUCGAAUUGAAUUUCAGGCUCAUUUUCAAGGAUUUGGAUCCACUACAAUUUUUAUAAAAUUGUAGUUUCUAAAAUUAUGUGAAUUCAUGCCGUACAUUACAUCGAAUUGCUUGAAAAAAUUAUGACAUGUUAUUAAUAGGAAUUAAAUAUAUUUUUAUCAUGUUCUUACAAUUUAUAUUGUAAAAAAGCCUUAAACUAAAAGCUGUCUUUUUUAUUUUAUAUAAAAAAUAAUAAUUUCUCUUUAAAAGUGAAAAAAAAAAAUGCUUUUUAGAAAGAAAUUUUUUUUACCUGCUUCGGCAAUAUGUCACAUUUUUAAUAAGUAAUAUUUUUCAAGUCGUUUGGUAUAAGAAACAACCUAAAUUCACAUAAUUUUAGAAUUUACAAUUUCUUUAAAAUUGAAAGGAAUGAUAAUCCAAGAAAAUGACCAUAAAAUUCAAUUCAAAGAGCUUGUCUCUAAUUAUUCUGUAAAUUAUUUUUUUGAUACUUGUGGUGUAACGUGAAACCAAGUAGACGUUUUAGUUUUAAAAAAUAUUGCAUAUGGUAAUUGUGAACAUCUCAUAAACAUAGCUAAUCCUUUUAUCCAUUAAUUAAACUGUGUGUCAUGUCAAACCAAUUAGCGACUGAUGUCAUGUAUUCCAUAUGCCACAUAACAUUAUUUACAAAUAAAAAUAAUAAUAAUAAUUUAGGGGACAUUUUUUUACUACCCCAAUGACCAUGAUGUCGGUUCUGUCACUCCCUAGUUGGCUAUAGUGAUAAUUUUUCUUCUUUUUAAUUUUUAAAUAAUAUUAAUAAGACAUAAGACACGUCACAAUUAUUUAUUGAUUUAACGUUACAAACUAUUAGAUUAUUAAACAAAGAGUGAUGAUUCAGAACAUCCUGGGAUGUUGCUACAGUGCAACAUCCCAGGACACAUGAACAGUGAAAUCACUGUUCAUGUGGGGGGCCACAUGAACAGUGAUUUCACUGUUCAUGUGUCCUACAUGAACAGUGAUUUCACUGUUCAUGUGUCCUGGGAUGUUGCACUGAAUCAUCACUC
Molecule: non-coding RNA, 1365 nt
Filed under: Betula luminifera
Lineage: Eukaryota; Viridiplantae; Streptophyta; Magnoliopsida; Fagales; Betulaceae
Source: RNAcentral